AUACCAUGAUGAGGAUAUAAUAUCAUCAUGUCCUUAUAUCAUUCUCAUGCUUCGAAGAGUGAUUCUCCUUCGGUUUGUCAGAAGCAUAAUUAUGUAAUUUCUCAGUAC
Lathyrus oleraceus (garden pea) is the source of this 108-nucleotide small nucleolar RNA. Lineage: Eukaryota; Viridiplantae; Streptophyta; Magnoliopsida; Fabales; Fabaceae. The record is from RefSeq and is a predicted model, not a curated record.